GGGGAAUAUUGGACAAUGGGCGCAAGCCUGAUCCAGCCAUGCCGCGUGGGUGAUGAAGGCCCUAGGGUUGUAAAGCUCUUUUGUGCGGGAAGAUAAUGACGGUACCGCAAGAAUAAGCCCCGGCUAACUUCGUGCCAGCAGCCGCGGUAAUACGAAGGGGGCUAGCGUUGCUCGGAAUUACUGGGCGUAAAGGGUGCGUAGGCGGGUCUUUAAGUCAGGGGUGAAAUCCUGGAGCUCAACUCCAGAACUGCCUUUGAUACUGAGGAUCUUGAGUUCGGGAGAGGUGAGUGGAACUGCGAGUGUAGAGGUGAAAUUCGUAGAUAUUCGCAAGAACACCAGUGGCGAAGGCGGCUCACUGGCCCGAGACUGACGCUGAGGCACGAAAGCGUGGGGAGCAAAC
RNAcentral lists this ribosomal RNA (400 nucleotides) under uncultured bacterium. Its description in RNAcentral is "bacterial SSU rRNA". It matches the Rfam family "Bacterial small subunit ribosomal RNA", at positions 356 to 773 of the family's 1533-position model. The record is from RNAcentral.